CGAACGCUGGCGGCGUGCCUAACACAUGCAAGUCGGACGAGAAAGGGGUAGCAAUACCCCCGGUAAAGUGGCGAACGGGUGAGUAACACGUGGGUAACCUGCCCUCGAGCUCGGAAUAACCCGCCGAAAGGUGGGCUAAUACCGGAUAACGCUUUCGGCCCCUCGGGGCUGAAAACCAAAGAUGGCCAAUGCUUGCAAGCUAUCACUUGAGGAGGGGCCCGCGGCCCAUUAGCUAGUUGGCGGGGUAAUGGCCCACCAAGGCGACGAUGGGUAGCCGGCCUGAGAGGGCGAUCGGCCACAUUGGAACUGAGACACGGUCCAGACUCCUACGGGAGGCAGCAGUGAGGAAUCUUGCGCAAUGGGCGAAAGCCUGACGCAGCAACGCCGCGUGGGUGAUGAAGGCCUUCGGGUCGUAAAACCCUGUCAGGUGGGAAGAAUCGGGCAGGAGCUAAUACCUUCUGUCCCUGACUGUACCACCAGAGGAAGCCCCGGCUAACUCCGUGCCAGCAGCCGCGGUAAUACGGAGGGGGCCAGCGUUGUUCGGAAUUAUUGGGCGUAAAGGGCGCGUAGGCGGCCGGGUAAGUCUGACGUGAAAUCCCUUGGCUCAACCAAGGAAUUGCGUCUUAAACUGCUCGGCUUGAGUCCGGGAGAGGGUAGUGGAAUUCCCAGUGUAGCGGUGAAAUGCGUAGAUAUUGGGAGGAACACCGGUGGCGAAGGCGGCUACCUGGACCGGUACUGACGCUGAGGCGCGAAAGCUAGGGUAGCAAACAGGAUUAGAUACCCUGGUAGUCCUAGCUGUAAACGAUGGGCACUUGGUGUAGCGGGUAUCGACCCCUGCUGUGCCGAAGCUAACGCAUUAAGUGCCCCGCCUGGAGAGUACGGUCGCAA
This 888-nucleotide ribosomal RNA is filed under the name uncultured bacterium. Its description in RNAcentral is "bacterial SSU rRNA". It matches the Rfam family "Bacterial small subunit ribosomal RNA", at positions 30 to 891 of the family's 1533-position model. The record is from RNAcentral.